Molecule: ribosomal RNA, 1572 nt
Filed under: Dumontia simplex
Lineage: Eukaryota; Rhodophyta; Florideophyceae; Gigartinales; Dumontiaceae
Description: bacterial LSU rRNA
Rfam family: Bacterial large subunit ribosomal RNA
Source: RNAcentral
CACUUUUCGAAGUGUACUGGACGCAAAGAGUUUUCUGUGAAGCCGGGGCGUGAGCCAUCCGGUGGAGAGAUCACUAGCGAGAAUGAUGACAUGAGUAGCGACAAACAGGGUGAGAGACCCUGUCGCCGAAAGUCCAAGGGUUCCUGCUUAAAGCUAAUCUGAGCAGGGUAAGCCGACCCCUAAGGCGAGGCCGAAAGGCGUAGUCGAUGGGAACCAGGUUAAUAUUCCUGGGCCGUGAGGUGGUGACGGAUCUCGAAGGUAGUUCAUCCUUAUCGGAUUGAAUGGGCUGCUGAGAGGUUCCUGGAAAUAGCCCCUCUAUAAGAUCGUACCCUAAACCGACACAGGUGGACUGGUAGAGAAUACCAAGGCGCUUGAGAGAACGAUGUUGAAGGAACUCGGCAAAAUACCUCCGUAAGUUCGCGAGAAGGAGGCCCGGUUUCUACGCAAGUGGAUGCCGGGGGCACAAACCAGGGGGUGGCGACUGUUUACUAAAAACACAGGGCUCUGCGAAGUCGCAAGACGACGUAUAGGGUCUGACGCCUGCCCGGUGCCUGAAGGUUAAAAGGAGGGGUGCAAGCCCCGAAUUGAAGCCCAGGUAAACGGCGGCCGUAACAAUAACGAUCCUAAGGAAGCGAAAUUCCUUGUCGGGUAAGUUCCGACCUGCACGAAUGGCGUAACGACUUCCCCGCUGUCUCCAACAUCGACUCAGCGAAAUUGAAUUGCCUGUCAAGAUGCAGGCUUCCCGCGGUUAGACGGAAAGACCCCGUGCACCUUUACUACAGCUUCACACUGGCAUCAGGCACAACAUGUGCAGAAUAGGUGGUAGGCUUUGAAGCAGGAACGCCAGUUUCUGUGGAGCCUCCUUUGAGAUACCACCCUUGUUCUGCCUGAUGUCUAACCGCGGUCCGUUAUCCGGAUCCGGGACCCUGUGUGGCGGGUAGUUUGACUGGGGCGGUCGCCUCCUAAACAGUAACGGAGGCGCGCGAAGGUUGGCUCAGAGCGGUCGGAAAUCGCUCGUUGAGUGCAAUGGCAGAAGCCAGCCUGACUGCGAGACUGACAAGUCGAGCAGAGUCGAAAGACGGCCAUAGUGAUCCGGUGGUCCCGCGUGGAAGGGCCAUCGCUCAACGGAUAAAAGGUACGCCGGGGAUAACAGGCUGAUGGUGCCCAAGAGUCCAUAUCGACGGCACCGUUUGGCACCUCGAUGUCGGCUCAUCUCAUCCUGGGGCUGGAGCAGGUCCCAAGGGUACGGCUGUUCGCCGUUUAAAGAGGUACGUGAGCUGGGUUUAGAACGUCGUGAGACAGUUCGGUCCCUAUCUGCCGUGGGUGUAGGAUACUUGAGAGGAGUUGCCCCUAGUACGAGAGGACCGGGGUGAACGAUCCACUGGUGGACCAGUUGUCAUGCCAAUGGCAGUGCUGGGUAGCUAUGAUCGGAAAGGAUAACCGCUGAAGGCAUCUAAGCGGGAAGCCCCCCUCAAAACAAGGUAUCCCUGAGAACCGAGGUAGACCACCUCGUCGAUAGGCCGGAGAUGUAAGUGCAGCAAUGCAUUCAGUUGACCGGUACUAAUUGUUCGA